This 114-nucleotide small nuclear RNA is filed under the name Mus spretus (western wild mouse). Its description in RNAcentral is "predicted gene, 24141 (ENSMSPG00010004349.1)". It matches the Rfam family "U4 spliceosomal RNA". From Rfam's summary of the family: U4 small nuclear RNA (U4 snRNA) is a component of the major U2-dependent spliceosome. The structure of U4 snRNA from yeast and human has been reported. U4 snRNA presents a k-turn RNA motif in the 5p-SL related to recognition of Snu13 protein. The record is from RNAcentral. Lineage: Eukaryota; Metazoa; Chordata; Mammalia; Rodentia; Muridae.
AGCUUUGUACAGUGGCAGUAUCGCAACCAGUGAGGUUUAUCUGAGGAGAGAUUAUUGCUAAUUGAAAACUUUUCCUAAGAGACAGCUGUGCUCAGCUCAAUUUCUCCACUUUUU